Molecule: ribosomal RNA, 316 nt
Filed under: uncultured Entomoplasma sp.
Lineage: Bacteria; Bacillati; Mycoplasmatota; Mollicutes; Entomoplasmatales; Entomoplasmataceae
Description: bacterial SSU rRNA
Rfam family: Bacterial small subunit ribosomal RNA
Source: RNAcentral
GUGCCAGCCGCUGCGGUAAUACAUAGGUGGCAAGCGUUAUCCGGAUUUAUUGGGCGUAUAGGGUGCGUAGGCGGUUUUGCAAGUUUGUGGUCAAAUCCCGAGGCUCAACCUCGGUUCGCCAUGAAAACUGCAUCACUAGAAUACAAGAGAGGUAAACGGAAUUCCAUGUGUAGCGGUGAAAUGCGUAGAUAUAUGGAAGAACACCUGUGGCGAAAGCGGUUUACUGGCUUGUUAUUGACGCUGGAGCAACGAAAGCGGUGGGGAGACAAAGUAGGUAUUAGACUACCCUAGUACGUCCACGACCGUUAAACGUUGA